RNAcentral lists this ribosomal RNA (468 nucleotides) under uncultured bacterium. RNAcentral describes it as "partial 16S ribosomal RNA". It matches the Rfam family "Bacterial small subunit ribosomal RNA", at positions 28 to 507 of the family's 1533-position model. The record is from RNAcentral.
GACGAACGCUGGCGGCGUGCUUAACACAUGCAAGUCGAACGGAAAGGCCCUGCUUUUGUGGGGUGCUCGAGUGGCGAACGGGUGGGUAACACGUGAGUAACCUGCCCUUAACUUUGGGAUAACUUCAGGAAACUGGGGCUAAUACCGGAUAGGAGCUCCUGCUGCAUGGUGGGGGUUGGAAAGUUUCGGCGGUUGGGGAUGGACUCGCGGCUUAUCAGCUUGUUGGUGGGGUAGUGGCUUACCAAGGCUUUGACGGGUAGCCGGCCUGAGAGGGUGACCGGCCACAUUGGGACUGAGAUACGGCCCAGACUCCUACGGGAGGCAGCAGUGGGGAAUAUUGCACAAUGGGCGGAAGCCUGAUGCAGCAACGCCGCGUGCGGGAUGACGGCCUUCGGGUUGUAAACCGCUUUCGCCUGUGACGAAGCGUGAGUGACGGUAAUGGGUAAAGAAGCACCGGCUAACUACGUG